UACGUAGGGGGCAAGCGUUGUCCGGAAUCAUUGGGCGUAAAGAGCGUGUAGGCGGCUCGAUAAGUCCGCUGUGAAAGUCCAGGGCUCAACCCUGGAAGGCCGGUGGAAACUGUCGGGCUAGAGUCCGGAAGAGGCGAGUGGAAUUCCCGGUGUAGCGGUGAAAUGCGCAGAUAUCGGGAGGAACACCAAUGGCGAAGGCAGCUCGCUGGGACGGUACUGACGCUGGGGUGCGAAAGCAUGGGGAGCGAACAGG
RNAcentral lists this ribosomal RNA (253 nucleotides) under uncultured bacterium. RNAcentral describes it as "partial 16S ribosomal RNA". It matches the Rfam family "Bacterial small subunit ribosomal RNA", at positions 524 to 776 of the family's 1533-position model. The record is from RNAcentral.